AUUGAACGCUGGCGGCUUGCUUUACACAUGCAAGUCGAACGGCAGCGCGGGCUUCGGCCUGGCGGCGAGUGGCGAACGGGUGAGUAAUGCAUCGGAACGUGCCCAGUAGUGGGGGAUAGCCCGGCGAAAGCCGGAUUAAUACCGCAUACGACCUGAGGGUGGAAGCGGGGGACCGAAAGGCCUCGCGCUAUUGGAGCGGCCGAUGUCGGAUUAGCUAGUUGGUGGGGUAAAGGCUUACCAAGGCGACGAUCCGUAGCUGGUCUGAGAGGACGACCAGCCACACUGGGACUGAGACACGGCCCAGACUCCUACGGGAGGCAGCAGUGGGGAAUUUUGGACAAUGGGGGCAACCCUGAUCCAGCCAUGCCGCGUGCGGGAAGAAGGCCUUCGGGUUGUAAACCGCUUUUGUUCGGGAAGAAAUCCUCUGGGCUAAUACCCCGGGGGGAUGACGGUACCGGAAGAAUAAGCACCGGCUAACUACGUG
This 484-nucleotide ribosomal RNA is filed under the name uncultured bacterium. RNAcentral describes it as "partial 16S ribosomal RNA". It matches the Rfam family "Bacterial small subunit ribosomal RNA", at positions 28 to 507 of the family's 1533-position model. The record is from RNAcentral.